UAGGGAAUCUUCCACAAUGGACGAAAGUCUGAUGGAGCAACGCCGCGUGAGUGAAGAGGGGUUUCGGCUCGUAAAACUCUGUUGUUAAAGAAGAACAUAUCUGAGAGUAACUGUCCAGGUAUUGACGGUAUUUAACCAGAAAGCCACGGCUAACUACGCGCCAG
This 164-nucleotide ribosomal RNA is filed under the name uncultured bacterium. Its description in RNAcentral is "partial 16S rRNA". It matches the Rfam family "Bacterial small subunit ribosomal RNA", at positions 355 to 511 of the family's 1533-position model. The record is from RNAcentral.